ACUCAGAACAGCUGCUUCUUUUUGGCUUCUGGUGGCAGGGACACCACAGAGGUAAUUUAUUGCACUUCUAAAGACAUUGCGUUUCUUUCCAUGCUGGAACUCCCAGUCUGUGCAUGCCUGUCCUGCUUCCCCUUCACUCUUCUGCAACUGUAGCUUGGAAAUAACGUCUAAAUGCAUCGUCAAGCUUCAUAUUGAGUUCUGGGGGAAUAACUGUGCCAGAGGAGCUGCAAAAUAUGAAGCUAAGUAAUUCAAUUGCCCUAUAAUGAAAACCAGCUUAUUCUUAGCUCUGCCGUCAGGUGGUCCUGGAUGACUCUCUCACUGAAGACCUCCAUAUGAAGCCCUACUUGAGAAAUCAGCUUUGUUUUUAAGCACCAAAUUUUCCCCUGGGAGAAAAGGUUUUCUCCUCUUUUGAGACCAGUACUUUCUAUGUUUUCCUGAAGCUGUCAAGAAAGUUAGUGCUGGAUUUGAAGCCCAAAUAUAGCAAUUUGGGAAUCAGAA
Long non-coding RNA from Myodes glareolus (Bank vole), 498 nucleotides. RefSeq lists it as uncharacterized. Lineage: Eukaryota; Metazoa; Chordata; Mammalia; Rodentia; Cricetidae. The record is from RefSeq and is a predicted model, not a curated record.